This 345-nucleotide unclassified non-coding RNA is filed under the name soil metagenome. RNAcentral's name for it is "partial contains 5.8S ribosomal RNA, internal transcribed spacer 2, and large subunit ribosomal RNA". The stretch from base 1 to 119 matches the Rfam family "5.8S ribosomal RNA", at positions 35 to 154 of the family's 154-position model. The record is from RNAcentral.
GAUGAAGAACGCAUCGAAAUGCGAUACGUAAUGUGAAUUGCAAAUUCAGUGAAUCAUCGAGUCUUUGAACGCACAUUGCGCCCCCUGGUAUUCCGGGGGGCAUGCCUGUCCGAGCGUCAUUGCUGCCCUCAAGCACGGCUUGUGUGUUGGGCCCCGUCCUCCGAUCCCGGGGGACGGGCCCGAAAGGCAGCGGCGGCACCGCGUCCGGUCCUCGAGCGUAUGGGGCUUUGUCACCCGCUCUGUAGGCCCGGCCGGCGCUUGCCGAUCAACCCAAAUUUUUAUCCAGGUUGACCUCGGAUCAGGUAGGGAUACCCGCUGAACUUAAGCAUAUCAAUAAGCGGAGGA